RNAcentral lists this ribosomal RNA (418 nucleotides) under bacterium Ellin6029. Its description in RNAcentral is "bacterial SSU rRNA". It matches the Rfam family "Bacterial small subunit ribosomal RNA", at positions 29 to 490 of the family's 1533-position model. RNAcentral also lists the same sequence under 1 other name. The record is from RNAcentral. Lineage: Bacteria; Pseudomonadati; Pseudomonadota; Alphaproteobacteria; Hyphomicrobiales; Nitrobacteraceae.
AGCGAACGCUGGCGGCAGGCUUAACACAUGCAAGUCGAGCGGGCGUAGCAAUACGUCAGCGGCAGACGGGUGAGUAACGCGUGGGAACAUACCUUUUGGUUCGGAACAACACAGGGAAACUUGUGCUAAUACCGGAUAAGCCCUUACGGGGAAAGAUUUAUCGCCGAAAGAUUGGCCCGCGUCUGAUUAGCUAGUUGGUAGGGUAAUGGCCUACCAAGGCGACGAUCAGUAGCUGGUCUGAGAGGAUGAUCAGCCACAUUGGGACUGAGACACGGCCCAAACUCCUACGGGAGGCAGCAGUGGGGAAUAUUGGACAAUGGGGGCAACCCUGAUCCAGCCAUGCCGCGUGAGUGAUGAAGGCCCUAGGGUUGUAAAGCUCUUUUGUGCGGGAAGAUAAUGACGGUACCGCAAGAAUAAG